Molecule: long non-coding RNA, 266 nt
Organism: Ipomoea nil (Japanese morning glory)
Lineage: Eukaryota; Viridiplantae; Streptophyta; Magnoliopsida; Solanales; Convolvulaceae
Exons: 2
Source: RefSeq, a predicted model, not a curated record
ACUUCCAUUCCUGAAUUGGAACAAGAAAACAGCCUUUUCAGAGACCAAAGAAACCUGUAUAGUACUUCGUAGUAUUUUCCUUGAUCUCUUUCUGGUCUGUAGUUUCUACAGGCAACCUUGAAGGGGUGGUGACACAGAAAGGACUUGGUUCUUUGCAGCUAUGGUGGUGCUGACUUCUCUCUCUUGCCCCGCAAACACAGAUCUGAGUGUCAAAGAUUCUUAGGGGAUUUGGACUGGUGUUUUUUUUUUUUUUUUUUUUUUUUUUU